Molecule: small RNA, 579 nt
Filed under: human gut metagenome
Source: RNAcentral
CUAUUAAUCGAUGGUGCAUUAUUCUAGUCAUACAAUGUUCUACGAGGGUGGGGCUAAAAAUCCACUAAAGGGCACAUCGUUGAAGUUUCUUGUAUUUGCGCGAAAUGCCAGUUUUGUGUGAGUAUAGGGAGUAAAGAAUCUAGGGUAUUAUGUAACGGCAUACAUAAGACUCCCUAUUUUCGCGGAGGCUUAAAUAGAAGAAUUUAAGUAUAACCUAUGGUGAGUGCCAAGACACAAAAUACAUAGAGUAGCCUGUCUCGAGUGAAUGUGUGGGGAUUAAUUUUCUAAAUGAUAUUUACGUUUUGGCCAAACAUAAAUAAUCAAUAUUAUGAAACCAUAUUUGCAAAAAAGACUAGUAAAACAGGUUUGUAUGUUAAGGAAAACUUCUAGGAUGUUUGCUAUCACUAGCAUGAAAGUCUAGGGAUUAAGGUACAGAUUUAAGUGGCGAUCUGGUGUCUAUGUAAAAAUAGAUGCAUCCCUUAAACGGAAACGGCUAAGACAGUAAUGUCAAGCGGGAGGUAGAGAAAUUCAACCAGACCUAAACUGUAAAAUUUACUUAGACUUUUACCAUCAAAAACU